Molecule: ribosomal RNA, 1209 nt
Filed under: Bacillus sp. (in: firmicutes)
Lineage: Bacteria; Bacillati; Bacillota; Bacilli; Caryophanales; Bacillaceae
Description: bacterial SSU rRNA
Rfam family: Bacterial small subunit ribosomal RNA
Source: RNAcentral
AAAGUGUUGGUUGCGGCGGACUAAUGGGAGCUUGCUCCCGUUAGUUAGCGGCGGACGGGUGAGUAACACGUGGGCAACCUACCUGUAAGACUGGGAUAACUUCGGGAAACCGGAGCUAAUACCGGAUGACAUAAAGGAACUCCUGUUCCUUUAUUGAAAGAUGGCUUCGGCUAUCACUUACAGAUGGGCCCGCGGCGCAUUAGCUAGUUGGUGAGGUAACGGCUCACCAAGGCGACGAUGCGUAGCCGACCUGAGAGGGUGAUCGGCCACACUGGGACUGAGACACGGCCCAGACUCCUACGGGAGGCAGCAGUAGGGAAUCUUCCGCAAUGGACGAAAGUCUGACGGAGCAACGCCGCGUGAGCGAUGAAGGCCUUCGGGUCGUAAAGCUCUGUUGUUAGGGAAGAAUAAGUGCUAGUUGAAUAAGCUGGCACCUUGACGGUACCUAACCAGAAAGCCACGGCUAACUACGUGCCAGCAGCCGCGGUAAUACGUAGGUGGCAAGCGUUGUCCGGAAUUAUUGGGCGUAAAGCGCGCGCAGGCGGUUUCUUAAGUCUGAUGUGAAAGCCCCCGGCUCAACCGGGGAGGGUCAUUGGAAACUGGGAAACUUGAGUGCAGAAGAGGAAAGUGGAAUUCCAAGUGUAGCGGUGAAAUGCGUAGAGAUUUGGAGGAACACCAGUGGCGAAGGCGACUUUCUGGUCUGUAACUGACGCUGAGGCGCGAAAGCGUGGGGAGCAAACAGGAUUAGAUACCCUGGUAGUCCACGCUGUAAACGAUGAGUGCUAAGUGUUAGAGGGUUUCCGCCCUUUAGUGCUGAAGUUAACGCAUUAAGCACUCCGCCUGGGGAGUACGGUCGCAAGACUGAAACUCAAGGAAAUUGACGGGGGCCCGCACAAGUGGUGGAGCAUGUGGUUUAAUUCGAAGCAACGCGAAGACCCUAACCAGGUCUUGACAUCCUCCUGACACCUAGAGAUAGGGCUUUCCCUUCGGGACAGAGUGACAGGUGGUGCAUGAUUGUCGUCAGCUCGUGUCGUGAGAUGUGGGGUUAGUCCGCACGAGCGCAACCCUUGAUCUUAGUGGCCAGCAUUAGUGGCACUCCUAGGUGACCGCCGUGACAACCGAGAUGUGGGAUGACGUCAAUUCAUCCAUGCCCCUUAUGACCUGGCUACACGUGUCUCACAUGCAUGUGACAAAGGGCUGUGCAAGAAA